AUGUUUUAUGGGGAGGAGGAGGGAAGCGGCUGAGCAGGGCAAGAGCAAAAGUCCACUGCCUGGCAAGGACAGCCUAGACACGGGGGAAAGAAGGGACAUGGAGGGGCUGAGCCCUGUCACACGUCAUGCCCUGCAUGCCGGGCUGGACAUGGAGAAGCUGAGCGUGCAGUCUGGGGCUGAGGCUGGGAAGCCCUGAUACAUGGCUUAGAAGUGAGUUGGUGACAACUGGACGGUUCCCCAGCAGGGGCAAGCACCAGAGUGAUGGGAACAGCCCCUGCUGCCAGGAGCCCACGGGGGGAGUGUGCACGUGUGUGUGUGGUGUAUCCUGUGUGCACGUGGUACGUUCAUAGAUGUGUAGUGUCUGUGCAUGUGUGCAUGUGUGUGGGGUAUGAUCUUGUGUGUGGCAUAUGUUCAUGUGUGCGUGUGUGUGGUGUCUGCUUAUGUGUGCAUGUGUGUGUGGUGCUGUAGCUUCUAAUUCAGCCCAAGCCACAACUUAGACUUUUAAUGUUACGUUCAAACAAAACCAUUUGGAGACUCACUCACAGCUCUGAGGCUUUGGACGACGCCCGCUCAUCACCUGCCUUCCCCUCUGCUGAGUGCAAUGAAUUCAAGCUCCAUAAAGGCCACACAUGGAGCCCUGUGUGCGUCUACAGUUCUGGGUCCCGAGAUGAGGCGGUGAAACAGCAAACCCACACCCAGAACCCCUGCCCCAGGAGCCCCGGCCAGCAGGAGAGCAGGGCAGGGGUGCAAAGAGCAAGCCGGGGGUGGGGGCGGGAGAGGCAGAGCAGCAGGCUGGAGGCCGGGGCUCUGGUGGGAUUUUACGUUGAGCACGGGGUGAGCCUCUUGAAGGGUGAGGGCGUGUGUGGCCAUCCAGGUGGGGGUGGGGAGCGCAAAGGCCCUGGGGCAGGAGCAGGCCUGGAGCGCAGGCCACAGAGCCAGGGGCCGGGCCGCAGGUGAGUGAGCCAAAGGGAACCAAGAGGGGAUGGUGGAGGGAGCGGCCUGGCUGAGCAACCCGGGGCUUUGACCUUCUCAGGGGCAAUGGGAAGCCUGGAAUUGCAUGGGCUGGUGUGGAGGUCACCGUGACCUUGCCAGGCCUGGGGGUGCAGCCGCAGUGCCCAGGGAGGUGAGAAGGGGCUGGCCAGGCUGCCUGUUGUGAAGAGCAGAGAAGUGUGAGAGAGAUGUGGAGCAGGGCGUCUGGCUUUUCUCUGACCUGCGAUGGGCUGGUGGGAGCAGGAGCGAGCUGGCCUCACUGUGAAUGUGAAAAUGCUGGUUGGAGCCCACCACGGUGGGUACUUCCUUCAACGGCUAAAUGCGCCGAAGGCCUCCAAGCUUGACAGGGUUGAAUUUCCUCCGAGGCCCUGGGAGGGGCGCCCCGUGCUCCCUGGAUGGGGCCGACAUUCCUGGCCUGUCCCCAGCUGCGUCGCCUCUGCCCAGCCCUCAAUCACUGCAGCUCUCAAGUGGCCCUGGGUGCCGUGAUCUUGCUGAACUCUGAUGCUUUCCAAAUACCAUAAACUUAGUUUAUUUUCUGUCUGACAGAAACGGCGCCACUUAAGUCCUGCAAAGAACCCUUGGGUUCCACUCAGGCUGAGUUAUUCGGGGGCCACUGCUGAACGGUUUGCAUUUGUUUCCUCUGUGACAUCGGAGUGGGGAGGACGCUGCCUCCAGCACGGGGCCAGGGGCCAGGGCUGCUCACACAGAGCUGCUGGAGCCUACGGGGUCCCGGCUGUGGGUCCUGGGCUGCCCGCCCCCAGGAAGGGCACCUUGCCACCAUUGAAGUGGGGCGAGCUGAUUCGGGCACAGCUGGAAACCAGGAGGCAGCCAGCAGCAGCGGCCCUGAGCAAGAACAGGAACCCCAGGCUGAGGCGGGCGCAUCACACGAGACCAGCCUGGCCAACAUGGUGAAACCCCGUCUCUACUGAAAAUACAAAAAUUAGCCGGGCAUGGUGGCACGCACCUGUAAUCCCAGCUACUUGGGAGGGUGAGGCAGGAGAAUUGCUUGAACCCGGGAGGUGGCGGUUGCAGUGAGCCGAGAUUGUGCCACUGCACUCCGGCCUGGGCAACAGAGUAGGACUCUGUCUCAAAAAUAAAGAAGAAAGAAAGAAGGAGAGUCCGGAAGCCACUGCUGCCCCCACCAGCAGAGUGGAACUGUGAUUUCAUAGAACAGACACAGCCUGGCAGCGAGAAUGACCACAGUGCUCAUAGCCACUCAGGUGGAAUCUCAGGAACUCAAUGUCAGGAGGAGGAGUGGGGCCCUAAGGCCUGUGUGUGGGAGACAGUGGCCAUGGCGUCGAGCUCAAAGGCGAGCCGGGCGUGGCUGGGGAUGGGAAGGCGUGGCGCAGAGCCACGGGGAAGGCCCAGCCCAGACGCACACGAGGUCCAGAGACGGCAGCCUGCGAAGUGGAGGGAGGGUGGACGCCGGGGUGAUCACCCACUUUCCUAGACUGAGCGUUGGGCACAGGCUUUGUAUUGCUUCAGUCAUCAUCAUAUUUGAUGUAUGUUUGAUAAAUAUCCCUUUAAAAAUUAAAGACAGUUUGUUAAUU
This 2540-nucleotide small RNA is filed under the name Pan troglodytes (chimpanzee). RNAcentral's name for it is "processed transcript". The record is from RNAcentral. Lineage: Eukaryota; Metazoa; Chordata; Mammalia; Primates; Hominidae.